GGGCCCGCACAAGCGGUGGAGCAUGUGGUUUAAUUCGACGCAACGCGAAGAACCUUACCAGGUCUUGACAUCCCUUGACAGCCCAAGAGAUUGGGUGUUCAAUCUUCGGAUUGACAAGGAGACAGGUGGUGCAUGGUUGUCGUCAGCUCGUGUCGUGAGAUGUUGGGUUAAGUCCCGCAACGAGCGCAACCCUUAUUCUUAGUUGCCAUCAGGUAAAGCUGGGCACUCUAAGGAGACUGCCGGUGACAAACCGGAGGAAGGUGGGGAUGACGUCAAAUCAUCAUGCCCUUUAUGACCUGGGCUACACACGUGCUACAAUGGCCUGUACAAAGGGUAGCGAAGCCGUGAGGUGGAGCCAAUCCCAAAAAGCAGGUCUCAGUUCGGAUUGCAGGCUGCAACUCGCCUGCAUGAAGUCGGAAUCGCUAGUAAUCGCGGAUCAGCACGCCGCGGUGAAUACGUUCCCGGGCCUU
RNAcentral lists this ribosomal RNA (470 nucleotides) under uncultured bacterium. Its description in RNAcentral is "bacterial SSU rRNA". It matches the Rfam family "Bacterial small subunit ribosomal RNA", at positions 917 to 1382 of the family's 1533-position model. The record is from RNAcentral.